RNAcentral lists this ribosomal RNA (716 nucleotides) under Klebsiella sp. HPC804. RNAcentral describes it as "bacterial SSU rRNA". It matches the Rfam family "Bacterial small subunit ribosomal RNA", at positions 45 to 749 of the family's 1533-position model. The record is from RNAcentral. Lineage: Bacteria; Pseudomonadati; Pseudomonadota; Gammaproteobacteria; Enterobacterales; Enterobacteriaceae.
ACCUUUACUCCUGAACGGCGUGCCAGGGGCACCCGUAAGCUUGCUCUCGGGUGACGAGCGGCGGACGGGUGAGUAAUGUCUGGGAAACUGCCUGAUGGAGGGGGAUAACUACUGGAAACGGUAGCUAAUACCGCAUAAUGUCGCAAGACCAAAGUGGGGGACCUUCGGGCCUCAUGCCAUCAGAUGUGCCCAGAUGGGAUUAGCUAGUAGGUGGGGUAACGGCUCACCUAGGCGACGAUCCCUAGCUGGUCUGAGAGGAUGACCAGCCACACUGGAACUGAGACACGGUCCAGACUCCUACGGGAGGCAGCAGUGGGGAAUAUUGCACAAUGGGCGCAAGCCUGAUGCAGCCAUGCCGCGUGUGUGAAGAAGGCCUUCGGGUUGUAAAGCACUUUCAGCGGGGAGGAAGGCGGUGAGGUUAAUAACCUCAUCGAUUGACGUUACCCGCAGAAGAAGCACCGGCUAACUCCGUGCCAGCAGCCGCGGUAAUACGGAGGGUGCAAGCGUUAAUCGGAAUUACUGGGCGUAAAGCGCACGCAGGCGGUCUGUCAAGUCGGAUGUGAAAUCCCCGGGCUCAACCUGGGAACUGCAUUCGAAACUGGCAGGCUAGAGUCUUGUAGAGGGGGGUAGAAUUCCAGGUGUAGCGGUGAAAUGCGUAGAGAUCUGGAGGAAUACCGGUGGCGAAUGGCGGCCCCCUGGACAAAGACUGACGCUCA